RNAcentral lists this ribosomal RNA (245 nucleotides) under uncultured bacterium. Its description in RNAcentral is "partial 16S ribosomal RNA". It matches the Rfam family "Bacterial small subunit ribosomal RNA", at positions 109 to 354 of the family's 1533-position model. The record is from RNAcentral.
AGUAACGCGUGGAUAACCUGCCGUAUGCAGGGGGAUACCAACUGGAAACAGUUGCUAAUACCGCAUAAGCGCACAGCACCGCAUGGUGCAGUGUGAAAAGAUUUAUCGGCAUACGAUGGAUCCGCGUCCGAUUAGCCAGUUGGCGGGGUAGAAGCCCACCAAAGCGACGAUCGGUAGCCGGCCUGAGAGGGCGGACGGCCACAUUGGGACUGAGACACGGCCCAAACUCCUACGGAAGGCAGCAG